Molecule: long non-coding RNA, 776 nt
Filed under: Helianthus annuus (common sunflower)
Lineage: Eukaryota; Viridiplantae; Streptophyta; Magnoliopsida; Asterales; Asteraceae
Description: hypothetical non coding rna
Source: RNAcentral
UUGUUCAAAGCUAAAACUCAAACCAAAACCAUAACUCUACCGGUAACCAAAAACAACAUAAACCAACCAAAAGAUCUUAUAUAUUGUUUACUUGCACCAGCCAAAGAGGAUUAUAUGUUAUCUGAAAGAUACUUGAUUAUCAAAGUGAAGCUACCAAGAUCUACUAAUAACAAGCUCAUAGCUCCUAUGCAGUUAAUGCGGUAAAAUAUCGGAUAUCGGUCAAGGACCGAUAUAUGAAAUAUAGGUUAUCUCGGUAAGAUAUCGGUGGGAUAUCGGUAAUUUUAAUAUAAUGCAGAAUUUAUAUAUAUAGCAAUUUAACACCAAUAAUUCAGUGAUAUAUCAGUGAUAUAUCGGUUAUAUCGGUCAGAUAUCGGUAAUAUAUCGGUUAUAUCGGUCAAAUAUCAGUGAUACAUCGGUUAUAUCGGUCAAAUGUCGGUCAAUAUCGCCGAUAAUAUUUUGACCGAUAUUUUACUAAGGGACCGAUAUGACCGAUAUAUCACCGACAUUAACUGCAUAGCAUAGCUCUAAUGAAGAACUCGAGGUUUCAUGAUCGAAUCAAACACAUUGACACAAGGUAUCAUGUCAUUUGACAAUAAGCUCGUUUUCAAUGUAUUGUCUUGUGUAUGAUUUUUUUCAUUGAUCUUGAAGUUAAAAGGUUUUGGUUAUUGAAUUGAAAUCACGAUAAAUAUAUCAAAACGAAGUCGUACGUGGCGUAUUUCUUUAACUGCAAAAAGAGUUUGUUUAAAAGUGCUGAGAAACUAGAAAUUACAAAGGAU